Molecule: ribosomal RNA, 468 nt
Filed under: uncultured bacterium
Lineage: Bacteria
Description: partial 16S ribosomal RNA
Rfam family: Bacterial small subunit ribosomal RNA
Source: RNAcentral
GACGAACGCUGGCGGCGUGCUUAACACAUGCAAGUCGAACGGAAAGGCCCUGCUUUUGUGGGGUGCUCGAGUGGCGAACGGGUGAGUAACACGUGAGUAACCUGCCCUUGACUUUGGGAUAACUUCAGGAAACUGGGGCUAAUACCGGAUAGGAGCUCCUGCUGCAUGGUGGGGGUUGGAAAGUUUCGGCGGUUGGGGAUGGACUCGCGGCUUAUCAGCUUGUUGGUGGGGUAGUGGCUUACCAAGGCUUUGACGGGUAGCCGGCCUGAGAGGGUGGCCGGCCACAUUGGGACUGAGAUACGGACCAGACUCCUACGGGAGGCAGCAGUGGGGAAUAUUGCACAAUGGGCGGAAGCCUGAUGCAGCGACGCCGCGUUCGGGAUGACGGCCUUCGGGUUGUAAACCGCUUUCGCCUGUGACGAAGCGUGAGUGACGGUAAUGGGUAAAGAAGCACCGGCUAACUACGUG